GGAAUACCCGCUGAACUUAAGCAUAUCAAUAAGCGGAGGAAAAGAAACCAACAGGGAUUGCCCUAGUAACGGCGAGUGAAGCGGCAACAGCUCAAAUUUGAAAUCUGGCUUCGGCCCGAGUUGUAAUUUGCAGAGGAUGUUUCUGGCGCGGUGCCUUCCGAGUUCCCUGGAACGGGACGCCACAGAGGGUGAGAGCCCCGUAUGGUUGGACACCAAGCCUGUGUGAAACUCCUUCGACGAGUCGAGUAGUUUGGGAAUGCUGCUCUAAAUGGGAGGUAAAUCUCUUCUAAAGCUAAAUACCGGCCAGAGACCGAUAGCGCACAAGUAGAGUGAUCGAAAGAUGAAAAGCACCUUGAAAAGGGGGUUAAACAGUACGUGAAAUUGUUGAAAGGGAAGCGCUCAUGACCAGACUUGUGCCGGGCGGUUCAUCCGGGGUUCUCCCCGGUGCACUCCGCCCGGUUCAGGCCAGCAUCGGUUCUCGUUGGGGGAUAAGAACGGUAGGAACGUGGCCCUCCCUCGGGAGGGUGUUAUAGCCUGCCGUACGAUACCUUGAUGGGGACCGAGGUUCGCGCUCCGCAAGGAUGCUGGCGUAAUGGUCAUCAGCGACCCGUCUUGAAACACGGACCAAGGAGUCGUCCAUUAGAGCGAGCGUUUGGGUGUAAAACCCGCACGCGUAAUGAAAGUGAAAUUAGGUGAGAGCUUCGGCGCAUCAUCGACCGAUCCUGAUGUUCUCGGAUGGAUUUGAGUAAGAGUUUUAACGGACGGACCCGAAAGACAGUGAACUAUGCUUGUAUAGGGUGAAGCCAGAGGAAACUCUGGUGGAGGCUCGCAGCGGUUCUGACGUGCAAAUCGAUCGUCAAAUAUGAGCAUGGGGGCGAAAGACUAAUCGAACUGUCUAGUAGCUGGUUACCGC
RNAcentral lists this ribosomal RNA (913 nucleotides) under Harknessia rhabdosphaera. RNAcentral describes it as "eukaryotic LSU rRNA". It matches the Rfam family "Eukaryotic large subunit ribosomal RNA", at positions 19 to 961 of the family's 3401-position model. Lineage: Eukaryota; Fungi; Ascomycota; Sordariomycetes; Diaporthales; Harknessiaceae. The record is from RNAcentral.